GGUCUGCCCCACCUACUAGAACACUGAUUUAAUCCAGCUCAGCCAGGACAGGCAGCCCACCCUAAGGACUGGUCCCACCCAACACCAAGCCCUUGGGCAACUUGUCGGCCUGCAUAGGCUGGGUGCCUGGAUCCUCUGCAGCCAGUGGCUGUGAUAGAAGCUGGGGCUACAUCAGAUUCUAUGCCAGGGUGCCUGUCUUACAAGCUAAAUGUGGAGGCAGAACCUGCAUUCAAAAAGGUUGUUCUUUGCAACAUAGCACAAGAGGAACAGAGAGAGAAAGCUGCCAAGUGUCUAAUGAAGCAAAGAUAACCUUUAUUGCUUGGGUAGCAGUGGAGGAAGGAGGUUGGAGUAAAGAUCUGAUGGACGGACAGCAGUCCAGAUGCAAUAAAGGAAUUUACUCUUUUAUAAUUGUAGAAAUGAAUAUAAAAAUAAAAUUCUAUGUGUGCCUGGUUAAUGC
Molecule: long non-coding RNA, 457 nt
Filed under: Equus caballus (horse)
Lineage: Eukaryota; Metazoa; Chordata; Mammalia; Perissodactyla; Equidae
Description: lncRNA (ENSECAG00000029004.3)
Source: RNAcentral